CUGAACCAGCCAAGUAGCGUGAAGGAUGAAGGGUCCUACGGAUUGUAAACUUCUUUUAUACGGGAAUAAAGUAUCCUACGUGUAGGAUUUUGUAUGUACCGUAUGAAUAAGCAUCGGCUAACUCCGUGCCAGCAGCCGCGGUAAUACGGAGGAUGCGAGCGUUAUCCGGAUUUAUUGGGUUUAAAGGGAGCGUAGACGGGUUUUUAAGUCAGUUGUGAAAGUUUGCGG
RNAcentral lists this ribosomal RNA (228 nucleotides) under uncultured Bacteroides sp. Its description in RNAcentral is "partial 16S ribosomal RNA". It matches the Rfam family "Bacterial small subunit ribosomal RNA", at positions 383 to 607 of the family's 1533-position model. Lineage: Bacteria; Pseudomonadati; Bacteroidota; Bacteroidia; Bacteroidales; Bacteroidaceae. The record is from RNAcentral.